This 1002-nucleotide long non-coding RNA is filed under the name Homo sapiens (human). RNAcentral's name for it is "non-protein coding lnc-B3GALT2-2:1". Lineage: Eukaryota; Metazoa; Chordata; Mammalia; Primates; Hominidae. The record is from RNAcentral.
GUUCAGGAGGUCAAGGCUGUGGUAAGCUGAGAUCACACUACUGCACUCCACCCUGGGCAACAGAGCAAGACCCUGUCUCAGAAGCAAAACAAAACAAAUAUACUAAUUGCCCAAGCAUCAUUAUCUUUUGUAGAUUAAUCUAUUUUAAUGUGCCUACUGACUGCAGCAGAAAUUAUGUGUCCUGAACAGAAACAAAUUUCUAUAGUUUUAUAUCUUCCCAGAAAUACUAUUGUUCAACAUGCUGAAAGAUAUAGCUGAGAACCUAAAGAUCUAGUAAUAUGAAAUGAUGUUUGGCUUCUCUGAACUUACCACAUCAAGAAGGCAGCAGUUUGCAAGCAAUGCCCCUCCUCCACCAAAAAAGGCCUUAUUAUAUUCUAAAACCAAGUGAGCAGCCCUACAUGCAGAUGAACUGAAGCUUCCAGCCAACAGGCAUGAAAUAACUGAGGCCUGCUCAGAAUGACAUGAGUGUGUUUGAAAGUGGAUCUCUGGCCCCAGUUAAGCCAUGAGAUGACUGCAACCACAAGAGAGGCCCUGGGCCAGAACCACAGCUAAGUCACUCCUGGAUUUCUGACCCUCAUAAACUGUGAGACAAUAAUUGUUGUUUUAAGCAGCUAAGUUUCAGGAUACUUUGUUAUACAACAAUAAAUAAAUAGUACUCUCUGAGAGUGAUUUUAAGGCAUGGCCCUAUCAAAGGAGUAGCCUUACUUUAACACCUAAUCCAGUGGAUCUCAGAGGUAUUAAUAUCUACCAUUUGUGAUUGUCUUAUAUUACCCAAAAGACUUAAGCUUUUAAUGGGAAGGAAGAUUAUAUGAACUUUUUUGAUGUCCUAAAACAGCACAGUGCCAAGUGCAUGUAAGUACUCUAUAAAUAUUUCCUGAAUUGAUUUUUUAAACUACAUUUUUUAAACUAGAAUUCAUGGGACUGAAUCAAACUGCAUUUUAACAGAGCAUACUAUUGCAUGUUCGUUCAUCUUGAUGCAGUUAGAAAUUAUUCCAGGUACUG